Molecule: non-coding RNA, 1828 nt
Organism: Neolamprologus brichardi
Lineage: Eukaryota; Metazoa; Chordata; Actinopteri; Cichliformes; Cichlidae
Source: RefSeq, a predicted model, not a curated record
AAUAUAAUAUGAAAAAAUGUGUUACUAUAUUGCAUGAUACUACUUAAUGUUUAUUGAGUGAGCUGAAUUCAUUACACAUAAAUUCUGCCACGGGUUAUUAAAACAAAGAGAUUAAGAGCUUGUGUACAUAAUUGACUUCAGGAUUUAUUCUGCUUCCUUAACAAUGAAAUACAAACUAUUAAUAAACUAGAACUAAUACUCAUUAUAACCACCAACUCCUUAUAAGGUAUGGUAUUGGGUUUGGGGAGGAUAGAAUCUAGUUUUUAACCAAUUGAAUAAUUAGAAACCUGCAAACAUAUCAGUAUAAAAGAAUGUGACAUGAAAAUGUGCCUGAUAUAGCAGCUUCUCCUCACCAGUUUUAAUUUGUUAGAUACAUUCACAUUCUCAUAUAAAACUCUCUGAACUGCUAAGAGAAGCUACCCCUCUCUUUUGGAAAGUUGGCUGCAGCUGAUUCCUCCCAGACUGUGGCUUCCUGAUCAAGGAGGGUCCAUGUACAUGUUCAAUUUUUUUGUUCAAUGCUCUAAUAAAUAAAGUGUUUUGGCUGGUGAUUCCUCAAGGUGGAUAAACAAAGACAAACAAAUUGGUGACCGUGACAUGAUCCACAGAGGAUAAUUCCGACCAGGCCAGGAUUUCCAGCGGAGCAAGAAUCCUUAACACCCAUGAGAUGUGUCUGUGAAGGUUCUCAGUCAUCCAGGUCAUCGUAGUCGAAGGAGCUUGCAUAGAAAAGCAUCUGGACUUCUUUAAGUUGCUUGAAGACGUUUCACCUCUCAUCCGAGAAGCUUCUUCAGUUCUAAGGUCUCAAAUUUAACUAGAUGGAUUAACAGAAGAAAACAUGACGACUGUCAGCCUGGGUUCAGCAGUUCAUGGUUGAGUUUGUUUCCCACACACACCUGAAGAUGAAGGCACACAGAGUAAUCACUGCAACAACCUGCCGUCUCUAAAGCUGUACAUAUGUGUAGAAACUGAUGUAACUAAAGGUGCAGUAGCCAAAGCCAGAAAUCCUCCGAAGGUGGAAACUCCAGACUGAGCCUGGGUGCUGAUCAGAGAUCUUCAGAGAACCAGGUCAAGGCAGAGACCAUUCCAAGUACAGCUGACAACCCAGACAGCCAUUAAGGUCAAAAGUCGUCCUACUUGGAUUCAUGCUGGCUAUCACAAGAAGAUUCCAGAAUCACAGCAAUAACCCAAAGGGUUGAAAGAUUUCUGCUUUUAUGUUGAGAAAGACAACAAGGGUGUACAACGUGCUCUCACUCAAAAGAGUGAAUGGUGAAAGAGCACCCUCCUCCAGUGUGCCAAACUCCAUCUCCGUGGCGUGCAGAGCAAGACUAUGUCACUCCAUGAGGGAUCAGCGAUGAAAUGCAGACAACAUCUGAUUAAACAGUCAGGUGGGUUUGGCCUGAAAGGUUCAGUGUGUUUUUAGUUGAGAUGGUUGUCUGUGUGACACUAAUCAUUUUACAAAUAAGAAACAUCCAAGUGACUCUCCAAGCAUCACAAACACAGAGAAGAUGUACAUGAAUUGCUGAAUGUCAAACUCUUCUCUAGACCUGAUUUUAUUAAAAGUAACUACAGUAAUUCCAGUAUCAACUAACAAAUUGUGGUUGCUUGCUUGCUUUUUGCUAAAUCACAUAGUUAGGGCUGGAUCAGGUGACCCUUAAUCCUCCCUUAGUUAUGCUGCAAUAGGUGUAGGUUGUUGGGAAUUCCCAUGAGGCAAUGAAUUUUUCCUUUCCAGUCACCUUUCUCACUCACUAUGUAUUAAUAGACCUCUCUGCAUUGAAUCAUAUUAGUUAUUAACCUCUGUCUCUCUUCCACAGCAUGUCUUUUAUCCUGUCUU